Molecule: ribosomal RNA, 499 nt
Filed under: uncultured microorganism
Description: bacterial SSU rRNA
Rfam family: Archaeal small subunit ribosomal RNA
Source: RNAcentral
UGGUGGGGUAACGGCCCACCAAGCCGAAGAUCCGUACGGGCCAUGAGAGUGGGAGCCCGGAGAUGGACCCUGAGACACGGGUCCAGGCCCUACGGGGCGCAGCAGGCGCGAAACCUCCGCAAUGCGGGAAACCGCGACGGGGUCAGCCGGAGUGCCGAUGCUUGCAUCGGCUGUCGGGGAGCCUAAAAAGCUCCCCAUAGCAAGGGCCGGGCAAGGCCGGUGGCAGCCGCCGCGGUAAUACCGGCGGCCCGAGUGGCGGUCACUAUUAUUGGGCUUAAAGCGUCCGUAGCCGGGUUGGGAAGUCCUCCGGGAAAUCUGGCCGCUUAACGGUCAGAAUGCCGGAGGAUACUCCCAGCCUAGGGAGCGGGAGAGGCCGAGGGUAUUCCCGGAGUAGGGGUGAAAUCCUAUAAUCCCGGGAGGACCACCUGUGGCGAAGGCGCUCGGCUGGGACGCGUCCGACGGUGAGGGACGAAGGCCAGGGGAGCAAACCGGAUUAGAU